GACGAACGCUGGCGGCGUGCUUAACACAUGCAAGUCGAACGGAAAGGCCCUGCUUUUGUGGGGUGCUCGAGUGGCGAACGGGUGAGUAACAAGUGAGUAACCUGCCCUUGACUUUGGGAUAACUUCAGGAAACUGGGGCUAAUACCGGAUAGGAGCUCCUGCUGCAUGGUGGGGGUUGGAAAGUUUCGGCGGUUGGGGAUGGACUCGCGGCUUAUCAGCUUGUUGGUGGGGUAGUGGCUUACCAAGGCUUUGACGGGUAGCCGGCCUGGGAGGGUGACCGGCCACAAUGGGACUGCGGUACGGCCCAGACUCCUACGGGAGGCAGCAGUGGGGAAUAUUGCACAAUGGGCGGGAGCCUGAUGCAGCAACGCCGCGUGCGGGAUGACGGCCUUCGGGUUGUAAACCGCUUUCGCCUGUGACGAAGCGUGAGUGACGGUAAUGGGUAAAGAAGCACCGGCUAACUACGUG
This 468-nucleotide ribosomal RNA is filed under the name uncultured bacterium. RNAcentral describes it as "partial 16S ribosomal RNA". It matches the Rfam family "Bacterial small subunit ribosomal RNA", at positions 28 to 507 of the family's 1533-position model. The record is from RNAcentral.